Molecule: ribosomal RNA, 253 nt
Filed under: uncultured bacterium
Lineage: Bacteria
Description: partial 16S ribosomal RNA
Rfam family: Bacterial small subunit ribosomal RNA
Source: RNAcentral
UACGAAGGGGGCUAGCGUUGCUCGGAAUCACUGGGCGUAAAGGGCGCGUAGGCGGCGUGGCAAGUCACUUGUGAAAUCUCCGGGCUUAACUCGGAACGGUCAAGUGAUACUGCUGUGCUAGAGUGCGGAAGGGGCAACUGGAAUUCUCGGUGUAGCGGUGAAAUGCGUAGAUAUCGAGAGGAACACCUGCGGCGAAGGCGGGUUGCUGGGCCGACACUGACGCUGAGGCGCGAAAGCUAGGGGAGCGAACGGG